UCUAGUCUAAUGUUUUCAGACAAUGACAGACAUAAAUAUAAAAGCACAAUAAUCAAGCAAAUGAGUCCGUCUAUAAGCUCAACUAUUUAAAAAAGUGGUUUAUAAACUAUUUUAAUUACGAACUGUAAGUUGCAUAUAUGAAAACAACCUCGAAAAAAGGAAAAAAAUAAAGUAUAAAAAAAAUAAAUAAAUAAAUAAAGUAUGUGGGGUCCCGCCCUACCAGGUGAGCCAGGUCGAAUGGCAUUGUGGGUAACAUAGCAACAGUUGCACCACGGUUUGCACAUGGACAGUUCACAGCAGCCCGGGGCUACUUCAGGCUCAACCUAAGCAGCAGAAUGAGGAUAAGUUGAACCUGGAGCAGCAGACUGAGGAGGACUUCGUACUAGUGCUCAAGACUUGCAGGGUGCCGUUCAGACAGCCAAGCAUGAAGUAGGCUUUGACGGAGUAUCCUCUCGAAGCUCGAAACUCCCAUCUGCACGCACGCAAUGAAGGUUCAGUGAUGAACUUGCUUGACCUUCACAACUCUAAGUAG
Molecule: long non-coding RNA, 532 nt
Organism: Sebastes umbrosus (honeycomb rockfish)
Lineage: Eukaryota; Metazoa; Chordata; Actinopteri; Perciformes; Sebastidae
Exons: 3
Source: RefSeq, a predicted model, not a curated record